GACGAACGCUGGCGGCGUGCUUAACACAUGCAAGUCGAACGGAAAGGCCUGCUUUCCCUUGUGUAUUGCGGGUACUCGCGUGGCGAACGGGUGAGUAACACGUGAGUGAUCUUCCCCCAACUUGGGUAUAAGCCUGGGAAACUGGGUCUAAUUCCCGAUAGGACUGCAGGGGGGUGCCUGUGGUGGCAAACGAUGUUCUAGUGGUUGGGGAUGAGCUGGCGGCGUAUCAGCUUGUUGGUGGGGUAAUGUCCUACCAAGGCGGGGACGGGUAGGCGGCCUGGGAGAGUGGGCGGGAAAGUUGGAACUGAGAUACGGCGCCGAAUACUACGGGAGGAAGCAGAGGGGAAGAAUGAGCGGUGAGCGGAAGCCUGAUGCAGCAACGCUGAGUGGGGGAUGACGGCCGUGGGGUUGUAACCUUCUGUCGGUAGCGAGGAAGCCACCUGGUUGGAAGGGUGGUGACGGUAGUGGGAAAAGAAGCACCGGCUAACUACGUG
This 494-nucleotide ribosomal RNA is filed under the name uncultured bacterium. RNAcentral describes it as "partial 16S ribosomal RNA". It matches the Rfam family "Bacterial small subunit ribosomal RNA", at positions 28 to 507 of the family's 1533-position model. The record is from RNAcentral.